CAACUGGUAAUUAUGCACGUAUGUUUCAGGCCUCCGGGACUAUAGGAAGGGGUCUACCUGCCUGCUAGCCAAAGAGCUUGAGCAUCAGUCGCUAAGGUGGAAUUUCAAUAACAAGGAAAUAUUCAGAAAGGAACUAGACAGUUCAAAGCGACGUGCAGAAGAUGACAGUCGAGUCACAGAACGUGUCAUUCAGUGUGACCCAAACAAAGAUCUACACACAUGCAAGAGGCAUUUCUCAUUUGGUACACUGACUCACUCGUCCCCAUCAGAUAGGGCAGCAUCAAAGGCACUCUAUUUCUGUCUGUCUCUGGCCAUCGCUCUGCUGACAUCUGCUCUGCUGAUGUUGUUGAAGCUCUGUCUCGAUUGUGCUUGGUCUCGAUUGUUCUCACUCGGUACAGAAAGUACAUACAGUGCAUUCGGUAAAGUAUAUAUUCAAAAAUGGAUUAAAUCAUUUUUUCCCUAAUCAAUCUACACACAACACCAAAUAAUGACCAAUCAAAAAC
Molecule: long non-coding RNA, 503 nt
Organism: Oncorhynchus gorbuscha (pink salmon)
Lineage: Eukaryota; Metazoa; Chordata; Actinopteri; Salmoniformes; Salmonidae
Exons: 3
Source: RefSeq, a predicted model, not a curated record